Etheostoma spectabile (orangethroat darter) is the source of this 791-nucleotide long non-coding RNA. RefSeq lists it as uncharacterized. The transcript has 2 exons. Lineage: Eukaryota; Metazoa; Chordata; Actinopteri; Perciformes; Percidae. The record is from RefSeq and is a predicted model, not a curated record.
UUAGCGAGUGCAGAUGUUAGUUUUGUGAAAUCCAUGAAAUAAUAAUCUUUAGUAUUACAACAUAACGAAGAUGCGAUCUUUCAAGACGUUUAGCUAUCUAUCUAGAUGUUGGAUGCUAACGUUGGCUCAAAACGCCAUUCAAAUGACAACCUUUGUUGCGUUUGAUUGCUAGCUUCUAGCUAGCAGUCAUUUCAAAAACGUUGUAGGUAUCUAUUACAGUUUGAUUGCUAACGUUAGCUCAAAACACCAUUCAACUGACAGCCUUUGUUGUGUUUGAUGCUAACUUGUAGCCAGCAGUGAACCAACUUAGUUAAUUAGCUAUGUCCAUUUAUACUGUUAAGUAGGUCCAUUUUUACUGUAUUGACAUUAGCUACAGAAGUCUCUCGUUAGCACAUUAUAUGCUAACUGCUUGUCGCAAAGUGACACAUGCGCGACUCAAAUCUGCACUCGCCUCACAUUGGGCAGUGACACUUGUCUUGGAGAGAGAAGCUACGAUUUCUCAUGUUGCAAGAGUCCAAGAUAUCCGCAAGUCCAAGAAUGAUGUAGCUACCAGUACAGCCCAACUUGAAUAUAUUCCCAACCAUUGUUAUGGGGGACAGGAGACGGAGCUUCCGGCCAAACUGCUAUAAUCUUCAUCCACGGCUUGACCAUUAUGUCAUGAUGGACUCUACAUAUUGCUAUGCAUGAAGACAUUUUUCAUUUUUUACGGCCCUACCUCUCUUGCACCUGCACUCACUCUUGUACAAAAUAAAUGAUUUAUGAUUUUAAAGUAAAAUAAAGUUUAUAAUCUU